GAAAUGCGAUAAGUAAUGUGAAUUGCAGAAUUCAGUGAAUCAUCGAAUCUUUGAACGCACAUUGCGCCCGCCAGUAUUCUGGCGGGCAUGCCUGUUCGAGCGUCAUUACAACCCUCAGGCCCCCGGGCCUGGCGUUGGGGAUCGGCGGAAGCCCCCUGCGGGCACAACGCCGUCCCCCAAAUACAGUGGCGGUCCCGCCGCAGCUUCCAUUGCGUAGUAGCUAACACCUCGCAACUGGAGAGCGGCGCGGCCACGCCGUAAAACACCCAACUUCUGAAUGUUGACCUCGGAUCAGGUAGGGAUACCCGCUGAACUUAAGC
RNAcentral lists this unclassified non-coding RNA (320 nucleotides) under plant metagenome. RNAcentral describes it as "partial contains 5.8S ribosomal RNA, internal transcribed spacer 2, and large subunit ribosomal RNA". The stretch from base 1 to 105 matches the Rfam family "5.8S ribosomal RNA", at positions 50 to 154 of the family's 154-position model. The record is from RNAcentral.